Molecule: ribosomal RNA, 427 nt
Filed under: uncultured bacterium
Lineage: Bacteria
Description: partial 16S ribosomal RNA
Rfam family: Bacterial small subunit ribosomal RNA
Source: RNAcentral
GUGGGGAAUAUUGGGCAAUGGGGGAAACCCUGACCCAGCGACGCCGCGUGAGGGAAGAAGGCCUUAGGGUCGUAAACCUCUGUUGUGUGGGAACAAGAGCGUGACGGUACCACACGAGGAAGUCCCGGCUAACUACGUGCCAGCAGCCGCGGUAAUACGUAGGGGACGAGCGUUGUCCGGAUUUACUGGGCGUAAAGGGCGCGUAGGCGGUCAUUUAAGUCAGCUGUGAAAUGGUUUGGCUUAACCGGAUCAUGCGGUUGAAACUGGAUGACUGGAGUGCUGGAGAGGCAAGUGGAAUUCCCAGUGUAGCGGUGAAAUGCGUAGAUAUUGGGAAGAACACCGGUGGCGAAGGCGACUUGCUGGCCAGCAACUGACGCUGAGGCGCGAAAGCCAGGGGAGCAAACGGGAUUAGAUACCCUAGUAGUCC